Long non-coding RNA from Lutra lutra (Eurasian river otter), 328 nucleotides. RefSeq lists it as uncharacterized. The record is from RefSeq and is a predicted model, not a curated record. The transcript is spliced from 3 exons. Lineage: Eukaryota; Metazoa; Chordata; Mammalia; Carnivora; Mustelidae.
GAAGAGGGAGCUGCUUUGGCUGCCACCAUUCUGGGGACGGUGGUCAAGGAGGAUGUUAUAACUGAGUCAAAGCUGGUCUUCAGGUGUUGUUGGAGACCUGUGUCAGGACAAGAUGAAUCCAGCUGCCAAUCCCUGGUGAGAUCCUGGUGCAUCGGGCAGUCAGGAAGGAGAACCUUCCCGAAUGGGAGGAUGGAAUCCCAGCGGACACCUUUAAUUCUUUCCUGGAGACACACCCAGGAAGUGAGAAGAGGACAUUAUUAUUUCUUAAUAUCUGGAUUUCUUUUCUAAUUACAAAGAAACACAUAACUGACUGUAGAAAACUUGGAAA